Molecule: ribosomal RNA, 366 nt
Filed under: uncultured archaeon
Lineage: Archaea
Description: partial 16S ribosomal RNA
Rfam family: Archaeal small subunit ribosomal RNA
Source: RNAcentral
AACUCUGGGAAACUGGGGAUAAUACUGGAUAUUAGGCUAUGCCUGGAAUGGUUUGCCUUUGAAAUGUUUUUUUCGCCUAAGGAUAGGUCUGCGGCUGAUUAGGUCGUUGGUGGGGUAAUGGCCCACCAAGCCGAUGAUCGGUACGGGUUGUGAGAGCAAGGGCCCGGAGAUGGAACCUGAGACAAGGUUCCAGACCCUACGGGGUGCAGCAGGCGCGAAACCUCCGCAAUGUACGAAAGUGCGACGGGGGGAUCCCAAGUGUUAUGCUUUUUUGUAUGACUUUUCAUUAGUGUAAAAAGCUUUUAGAAUAAGAGCUGGGCAAGACCGGUGCCAGCCGCCGCGGUAACACCGGCAGCUCGAGUGGUA